UACGUAGGUGGCAAGCGUUAUCCGGAAUUAUUGGGCGUAAAGCGCGCGCAGGUGGUUUCUUAAGUCUGAUGUGAAAGCCCACGGCUCAACCGUGGAGGGUCAUUGGAAACUGGGAGACUUGAGUGCAGAAGAGGAAAGUGGAAUUCCAGGUGUAGCGGUGAAAUGCGUAGAUAUCUGGAGGAACACCGGUGGCGAAGGCGGCAUCCUGGACCAACACUGACGCUGAGUGAGCGAAAGCCAGGGGAGCAAACGGG
Molecule: ribosomal RNA, 254 nt
Filed under: uncultured bacterium
Lineage: Bacteria
Description: partial 16S ribosomal RNA
Rfam family: Bacterial small subunit ribosomal RNA
Source: RNAcentral